This 40-nucleotide non-coding RNA is filed under the name unclassified sequences. Its description in RNAcentral is "DUF805b RNA". It matches the Rfam family "DUF805b RNA". From Rfam's summary of the family: Bacteroidetes, Chlorobi (1 example), Proteobacteria. Lineage (Flavobacteria) The record is from RNAcentral.
AAGGCGUAACCCGAAAAGCCAAUAGCCAAUAGAGUAGGGA